UGCAUCGGCCGGGAAUCGAACCCGAGCCGGGCGGCGAGCAUUUUACUACUGAACCAUCGAUGC
RNAcentral lists this transfer RNA (63 nucleotides) under Cordylochernes scorpioides. Its description in RNAcentral is "tRNA-Ser". Lineage: Eukaryota; Metazoa; Arthropoda; Arachnida; Pseudoscorpiones; Chernetidae. The record is from RNAcentral.